AUUCCAGCUCCAAGAGCGUAUAUUAAAGUUGUUGCAGUUAAAAAGCUCGUAGUUGGAUUUCUGGUCUAAUGCGCCUGGCCCGCUGCCGUUAGGUAUGUGAGUGCCGGUGCGCGUUUACCAUCCUUCCAGAGAACACUUCUACCAUUUAUUUGGACGGAUGUUGUCUUCUGGAUCUUUUACUUUGAAAAAAUUAGAGUGUUUAAAGCAGGCCUUUGCUGUGAAUACAUUAGCAUGGAAUAAUAAUCUAGGACUUCGGUUCUAUUUUGUUGGUUUCUAGUACUGAAGUAAUGAUUGAUAGGGAUAGUUGGGAGCAUUCGUAUUUAACUGUCAGAGGUGAAAUUCUUGGAUUUGUUAAAGACGGACUACUGCGAAGGCAUUUACCAAGGAUGUUUUCAUUA
RNAcentral lists this ribosomal RNA (398 nucleotides) under Cryomonadida sp. Its description in RNAcentral is "partial small subunit ribosomal RNA". It matches the Rfam family "Eukaryotic small subunit ribosomal RNA", at positions 582 to 975 of the family's 1831-position model. Lineage: Eukaryota; Cercozoa; Thecofilosea; Cryomonadida. The record is from RNAcentral.